UGCAGUCUAACUGGUUUAGCAAUAAAUCGGUGGCAAACGGGUGAGUAAUGCGUAGGAAUCUACCCAAGAUUAAGGAAUAUGUACUAGAAAUAGUAAGCAAUACCUUAUAAUUCCUGAGGGAAAAAGAUUUAUCGAUCUUGGAUGAGCCUGCGUGGGAUUAGCUAGUUGGUGAGGUAAUGGCUCACCAAGGCUGUGAUCUCUAGCCGACCUGAGAGGGUGGUCGGCCACACUGGGACUGAGACACGGCCCAGACUCCUACGGGAGGCAGCAGUGGGGAAUAUUGGACAAUGGGCGAAAGCCUGAUCCAGCUAUGUCGCGUGAAUGAUGAAGGUCUUCGGAUUGUAAAGUUCUUUUAGUAGGGAAGAUAAUGACGGUACCUACAGAAAAAGCUCCGGCUAACUUCGUGCCAGCAGCCGCGGUAAUACGAAGGGAGCUAGCGUUAUUCGGAAUGAUUGGGCGUAAAGGACACGUA
Molecule: ribosomal RNA, 472 nt
Filed under: uncultured bacterium
Lineage: Bacteria
Description: bacterial SSU rRNA
Rfam family: Bacterial small subunit ribosomal RNA
Source: RNAcentral